CACAAAUUAAAGUCAUCUAGAUGGAACAUUCACCCAAAGGACUGAGAGGCGUGAUCGGCCCAAAGGGAUCAGAAAGAUAAGACUGAUAUAAAGCCUAGUGCAAGAACAAAUUUGCACCCCGGGGACAGUCAAUUAAAACACUCCAUUUAUUAUCUCACGUGUUUAUGUCCUCGAAAUGAAACUACACCCACUGAAACACGUUUUGAUGAUGAAUGUUCCGGCUAGAUGUUUGAGUUUAUGAAUAAAAUGUAACUUUUGUCAUUAUCACUAGAAUAUAGAUUACAAAUUGUAAACAUUGAUCUAUCUGCAUAUUAUUAUAUGCACCUACAUGAUCUAAGAUUAUUACCUAUGGUGCCAUAUCAUAGUUUUUAACUGAGUCAUGUGACCCAUGGCUUCCUCUAUUUUUCAGAAUAGCCUAUCUAGUAUAAUAUAUAAAAUAUAUUUGUAGUAGGUAAUAAGUAGUGUUACAGUGCAUGGUUUUCAUGAUGUGUAGUGUUUGUAAGUUAUAACUUGUACAAAGUCGUACUAAACUACUAAUACCUUCAGUAGUUUCGUAUAAAUAGUAAAAAUAGUGCAAGGUUAGGUAGUAUAGUAUAGUACGGCUACACUCGCAAUGAGAGCUCACUAAUUGAUGCUAAUUAAUCAUCAUAACUCCUAUACAUUAAAUUAUCACUUAUUACUAUCCAAGGCUGCAUUCGAAAAACUCAGGGUAGAGUAGAAUACCCAUAUUAUCAAUAACUAUUUGAGUUAAUGUUACGGUUUAAAAUUAGGUUAUUAUAAUAACCUUGUUACUAUCUAGUAUCCACUACAGGCAUUAGGAUUCUUAUAUAAUGAUAUUUGUUCAUUGUUAUUUAUACAAUGUUAUUAUUUAAAAAUACAUAAUCUAAUUGUCUACUCAAAUGUAUAAUGUAAACUAUAAACAGUAGAAUAUUAUAGUGUCUUGAUUUCAGUUUUUGAAAGCUAAUAUUUACAUUAUUACUUACCCUUUCUUCCUUAUUCCUUUUCAAGAAAUACCAACCUAGUAUCUACAUGCUAUACA
Non-coding RNA from Cinara cedri, 1039 nucleotides. The record is from the annotation of a GenBank genome assembly. Lineage: Eukaryota; Metazoa; Arthropoda; Insecta; Hemiptera; Aphididae.